Molecule: non-coding RNA, 30 nt
Filed under: Rattus norvegicus (Norway rat)
Lineage: Eukaryota; Metazoa; Chordata; Mammalia; Rodentia; Muridae
Source: RNAcentral
UAAGGUCCAUAUGUCAUUCUUUUGACUAUC